GUUAAAGUUGCUGCAGUUAAAAAAGCUCGUAGUUGAAUUUUCCGGCAGUAUUGCCUGUCCGUAAGGGUAUCGACCACCGUCAAAAGUUUUUGAUACUUGAGCGGACUUUUACUGUGAUUAAAAUAGAGUGCUCAAAGCAGGCUUGUGCUUGAAUAUUUCAGCAUGGAAUAAUAAAAGACGACUUCAGUCAAUUUAUUGGUUAUUGGCAGAAGUAAAUGAUUAACAGAAACAGUUGGGGGCAUCCGUAUUUGAUAGUCAGAGGUGAAAUUCUUAGAUUUAUCAAAGACGAACUAAUGCGAAAGCAUUUGCCAAGAAUGUUUUCAUUAAUCAAGAACGAAAGUUAGGGGAUCCAAGACGAUUAGAUACCGUCGUAGUCCUAACCAUAAACUAUACCGACUAGGGAUUGG
This 407-nucleotide ribosomal RNA is filed under the name uncultured eukaryote. RNAcentral's name for it is "bacterial SSU rRNA". It matches the Rfam family "Eukaryotic small subunit ribosomal RNA", at positions 603 to 1056 of the family's 1831-position model. The record is from RNAcentral.